GAUGAACGCUGGCGGCGUGCCUAAUACAUGCAAGUCGAGCGAACAGACGAGGAGCUUGCUCCUCUGACGUUAGCGGCGGACGGGUGAGUAACACGUGGAUAACCUACCUAUAAGACUGGGAUAACUUCGGGAAACCGGAGCUAAUACCGGAUAAUAUAUUGAACCGCAUGGUUCAAUAGUGAAAGACGGUUUUGCUGUCACUUAUAGAUGGAUCCGCGCCGCAUUAGCUAGUUGGUAAGGUAACGGCUUACCAAGGCAACGAUGCGUAGCCGACCUGAGAGGGGGAUCGGCCACACUAGAACUGAGACACGGUCCAGACUCCUACGGGAGGCAGCAGUAGGGAAUCUUCCGCAAUGGGCGAAAGCUUGACGGGGCAACGCCGCGUGAGUGAUGAAGGUCUUCGGAUCGUAAAACUCUGUUAUUAGGGAAGAACAAAUGUGUAAGUAACUAUGCACGUCUUGACGGUACCUAAUCAGAAAGCCACGGCUAACUACGUG
RNAcentral lists this ribosomal RNA (497 nucleotides) under uncultured bacterium. RNAcentral's name for it is "partial 16S ribosomal RNA". It matches the Rfam family "Bacterial small subunit ribosomal RNA", at positions 28 to 507 of the family's 1533-position model. The record is from RNAcentral.